ACCCAGAUGCCAUGCUGUGAGAAGCUCAGGCUGCAUGGAGAAGACACAUGGGUAAGAAGUGAGGCAGUCUGCUUAAUGGUCCCACCUGAGCAUCCAGCUGACCUCAGCUGCUGGCCAGAACACAGUCACAUGGUUUCAGAGUAAAGGAGGAUGGAAAUGUGGUCAGUCUCUUUUUGUACCAAGGAAGAGGACACAGAUGGGAGAAAUAUCCAGCCAUUUUUCCAAGACAAAAGUAGUUGGUGCCUACGAACGUUCAGAAAAUGAGGAUAUUCUGAGGCUUCCACCAUGACCACGAUCAGCAGCUGACCUUCAGUGAGCCCUCAGAUGGAGCACCGUGCACAGAGCCAAGCAC
Mustela erminea (ermine) is the source of this 352-nucleotide long non-coding RNA. RefSeq lists it as uncharacterized. The transcript has 3 exons. Lineage: Eukaryota; Metazoa; Chordata; Mammalia; Carnivora; Mustelidae. The record is from RefSeq and is a predicted model, not a curated record.